This is a long non-coding RNA of Myxocyprinus asiaticus (Chinese sucker), 909 nucleotides long. RefSeq lists it as uncharacterized. The record is from RefSeq and is a predicted model, not a curated record. The transcript has 4 exons. Lineage: Eukaryota; Metazoa; Chordata; Actinopteri; Cypriniformes; Catostomidae.
AGUGAAGUGACAAAACCCACAUUGAGCCGCUUAUUCAAACAGAAGUGAUUAUAGCAAAGUGAAAACAGGAGACCUGUCUGUGGUCUGCAGGAGGAACAAUAUAGUGGAGCAGGUGUGCGAGUCUUUGCCUUUGCAUAGCCAUACCACAGCACUAAAAGGUUGGUUUACUCCACAACCUCAGGAGUUCAUGACCAUCGGCACUGUUGCUAUUGUUCGCCGCUUAUGCGAAGGUAUUUACUAAUGGGCUUGUCUUCAUCCCACCCGUGUGAGAAAAGGACGAGUUUGCGAGGGCUUCUAUCAGCGGCCAUAGAUAUGAAAGAAGAGCAGAGUGACAGGGUGAAUGGAGAGAAAAGAAGCAUUGUGAAUUGCAUGGGCGAGGAAUACUUCAGUUGAGGGUAUUGACCAGGUGUAGGUGAAGUAGGCAGUCGCCUAAGGCACCACCAGCUGGGAGGGUAGCAAUGAGGAGGCCACCACCACAAAAACAACGCCCCCUGCCCCUGGCCCUCGACGGGGGUACCAGUAGGGAUCUCACCUAUGGUACCAAAAUGGUCAGAAACUACCCUGUUGACAAAAAAAAAUAUUUGUGUUUUGUUCUAUCUCGUAUGAGUGGCUUAUCUGUGACUCUUUACUCCCAAAGAUGACAUCCUUCCCCCCUUUAGCUACUGACUUUCAAUUUGCAACAUGGGCACAGCCUCUUCCAGUUAUAUUCUUCUAUUUCUCUUGUACUCACUUCUCAUCUUGUAUGUGUCACUUACUAGAAAUCUCAAAUGGCGAUGCAAGUGUACAAUAAAUGUGUCCUAUAUGUGUCCUAUAUAUUUUUAGGUACUGUGUACUGUGUAUAUGGACUGCAUUAUUUUGCUUGUGUCAGGUCAGUGAGAAAUCCAUCAAUCAAUAACCUCAAACAUUUGU